RNAcentral lists this ribosomal RNA (396 nucleotides) under Triticum aestivum (bread wheat). Its description in RNAcentral is "partial small subunit ribosomal RNA". The record is from RNAcentral. Lineage: Eukaryota; Viridiplantae; Streptophyta; Magnoliopsida; Poales; Poaceae.
AUUUGCAAUGUGUGUGGCGCUGAUGAUGAAACGGGAUUCCAUGUUGCACACUGAUGUACGUUUGCGAGAGCCCUAUGGCAUGAGUUGAAGGAUGUGUGGAACCUUCCUCCUGAGCAUGAAAUAAGCUACACGGGAAAGGAUUGGGUUCUUGUCCUACUAGAUAAAGUGACUGAAGACUUACGACAAAAACUUAUGCUAUUCUGGUGGCGUGUUUGGCAUUAUAGAAAUGAUGCGAUCUUUGCGAAAGGUAAAGCAAAAAUCUCCCACUCUGCUCAGUUUUUGCAAAACUACCUUGCAAACAUCCGUUUGAUCGAGAACGGAAACUCCGAGAUUGAUUGUAAAGGGUGGGCCAAGGUCAAUGUGGAUGGAAGUUUUUUGCAGGAGAAUAGCAGUUGA